Molecule: ribosomal RNA, 209 nt
Filed under: Escherichia coli
Lineage: Bacteria; Pseudomonadati; Pseudomonadota; Gammaproteobacteria; Enterobacterales; Enterobacteriaceae
Description: partial 16S ribosomal RNA
Rfam family: Bacterial small subunit ribosomal RNA
Source: RNAcentral
AAAUUGAAGAGUUUGAUCAUGGCUCAGAUUGAACGCUGGCGGCAGGCCUAACACAUGCAAGUCGAACGGUAACAGGAAGCAGCUUGCUGCUUCGCUGACGAGUGGCGGACGGGUGAGUAAUGUCUGGGAAUCUGCCUGAUGGAGGGGGAUAACUACUGGAAACGGUAGCUAAUACCGCAUAACGUCGCAAGACCAAAGAGGGGGACCUU